GGUUAGGGAGUAUUUCAAUACCUCACUUACUGUAACCCGUUUUCGGAAGAAAAACCAAUCCGAUAUUUCCUCUAUUACGCCUCUGCAUUGUCCCUCUGUUUGGGAGAGUAGCUUACCUAAUCGGGUCGGUAAAUCUGUUCCGGGUCUUGUAUUGGCUCUAUAAGAAAAUUGUGCUGCCGUUUCUCUUGUGUCUGAUAGGAUGUAAGAUUAACACGGCUGGUUUGAGAUUCUGUUGCCGUUUGGUUUGAUUUUUUUGUUAAGUUGGGAUUUGUGUUUGUUUAAUUAUGAUUGAGUUAAGGAAGGGGCCAAUGAUAAUUGGGUAUACCUUCCGAUUGUUGUCUAAUUAUGUAAUGGUUUGCAAUAAAAAGCUUUGUGAUU
Molecule: unclassified non-coding RNA, 378 nt
Filed under: Hevea brasiliensis (rubber tree)
Lineage: Eukaryota; Viridiplantae; Streptophyta; Magnoliopsida; Malpighiales; Euphorbiaceae
Source: RNAcentral